AGUCUGCAACCCGGCUACAUGAAGCUGGAAUCGCUAGUAAUCGCGGAUCAGAAUGCCGCGGUGAAUACGUUCCCGGGUCUUGUACACACCGCCCGUCACACCAUGGGGAGCCGGAAAUGCCCGAAGUCAGUGACCCAACCGCAAGGAGGGAGCUGCCGAAGGUGGAGCUGGUAACUGGGGUGAAGUCGUAACAAGGUAUC
RNAcentral lists this ribosomal RNA (200 nucleotides) under uncultured bacterium. Its description in RNAcentral is "partial 16S ribosomal RNA". It matches the Rfam family "Bacterial small subunit ribosomal RNA", at positions 1302 to 1500 of the family's 1533-position model. The record is from RNAcentral.